Molecule: long non-coding RNA, 542 nt
Organism: Oncorhynchus keta (chum salmon)
Lineage: Eukaryota; Metazoa; Chordata; Actinopteri; Salmoniformes; Salmonidae
Exons: 3
Source: RefSeq, a predicted model, not a curated record
AUUAUCAGGGUGGGGAGGCGGCUGAGCUGAAACAGAAAGUAAAGUUGUUCUUUUGUUCAGGAUCCAUUUUGAGACGACAGAGCAGAAAAGACUACAUGGAGAUUAUUGAAAAAUAAAGGGUCAGUGCUCUAAAAUGAGUCUCUCCGGGAAGAGAGAGGAGGGGGGCCCUGCCUCUAAAAUUCAUCUCUCUGAGGGACAUGACACCAAAGCUAAGAGCGCCUGGCCCGGGAUUCGAACCAGCCACCUUUCGGUCACAGCUCCAACUCCAACAUGAGUUAAUCUUCAGAAAUAAGCAUGAGUUAAUCUGCCAAAAUGAAGACAAAAUGCUCUGCAGACACACAUGGUAUCACUUGUUAUACAUAAUUAUUAUACAUAAAUCAUUGCCAAAAGCACAAGACAUACUGUUGCAUGUAGAUCUAUAUUAUUAAUGGAUUGAUCACAUAGAAAUAUAAAAAAACAUUAUUUUUAACAAUUACAUGUGGCUCAGGAACCACUGACUCACUGCAUUAUUCUAUAGUAUUAUCAAGACACCUGCUGUUAAC